CACGGCACACCAGUGUGCCGCGGCACACCGUUUGGGAACCACUGGUCUAGGGAUAGAGAAACUUGAAUUACGUAACUUCCACUAGAAUCAAAUUAUUUAUUUAUUAUUAACUCUGACGUUUAACAUGACAUGAGUUAACCUAGCAGAACAGUAUCUGCUCUGCUGGCCGUGACAUUACCGAGUCAAGUCUGCGCAGCCGGGUCGGUACAACGCCGUUAACCUAUUAGCUUAGCUUAGCUAGCUGGCUGAAAGAACGUAAAAGCUAGAAAUUACAGUUGCUGUUGACGUGUUAGCUUAGCUUAGCUAGCCGGCUGAAAUAACGUAAAAGCUAGUAAUUACAGUAUUAACACGUCUUCAUUAAUCUUUUUGGCAUUGUUACUAAAUAUAGAGAUGUCCCGAUCCCCGGAUCGGAUCGGCCCCCGAUACUUGGUUUUAAGGUGGAUCGGGAUCGGCAGAUCCAAUUAAAUAUCAUGGCCGAUCCAUAUUUAAUAUUUCCCAUGAUUCCGUUGUUUGUUGUUGUUGUUCUUUUGCAUCAGCCGCCAUUAUCGAGUUGGAAAAGUGGAACAGACACAUCGUUAGCUAGUUAAAAUGUCUGCAGUUUGGCAUCAUUUUAAAAUAACUAGAAGUGAGUCGCCGACUGCGACAUGCAAAGUCUGUGGUGUGGAAGUCUCACGAGGUGGUGCUAACAGGGUCUCCUACAACACCACAAACCUAAUAAAACAUCUUAAAAAGCACCACCCCGACGAACACGCCGCCUACUGUAAAGCGACAGCGUCUGCGACUGAUGGACUCAUCAACAAACACUGCGGGACAGCUUGAAACGAAAGGAUUUACUUCUUCGAGACUCCGAGAGAUUUCGCAAGAUUACUGAGCUGAUUGUGGAGUGCAUAGCAGAGGACGACCAGCCAAUUUCACUUGUGGAAAACUCCGGUUUUUGUCGUCUAAUAAAUUAUUUGGAGCCGCGCUAUGGGAUGCCAUCCCGCCAUUACAUUGCUGAAAAAGGCAUCCCAGCCCUGCACACCAAGGUGCGUGAACAAGUGCAGCGGCACCUAAAGGAGGCUACCUCAAUCGCCCUCACCACUGACCUGUGGAGUUCAGGUGUAGCCCCGAUGUCGCUCCUCAGUCUGACCGCCCACUGGAUAGACUCCAGUUUUACUUUGCACAAUGUGGUGUAUGCAAGUGAGCUGCGUGGCUCUCACACACUUCAAUGCGUAUCCGGAAUGCUAUAGAAGAGAUGCUCGCCAAGUGGGACAUCGAUAAUGACAAGGUGCAUGUUAUGAGAGACAACGCCGCCAACAUGAAGAAGGUAAGCCUUCUUGUUAUUGACCACUGAUGUUUAGCUACGCAUUACCCACGUCAGUAAAGUUCAUGCUAAUUCCGUCAACAGCAUCUUUUAAUGAAUGGUCAUGGGGUAAACUUCCAUUUGAUGAUUUUGACAUGAUAUACUAGAUGUAUAUUAAAUGUUCCCUAUUCCUAAUUAUAAUUACGUGUGCCCUGGAUUUAUUUAAAAUGAUGUCUAGAUAACGUGUCUUUUAGACGGCAACCACAUCAACAGGCUAGCAGAAAAGUUAGCCUAGCUUGUUGUCAGCUAACUCAAGUCAGCUUAGCCACUAGCACUAGUUGUUAUUGCGACAGCAAAUAAUUAAAACGAAACAUUAAUAUCCUGUUUUAUGUCUUAUCUAAGACUACAGGCUUUCAAUACGUUUGUUAGACUUGGAAGUAGCCUACCGUAUUAAUGACAAAACAGCUAGUUUUGAGAGGCUACCUAUCAGCAGGAAAAAUAUUCAGUGCAACUUUUGAGAUGUUAAAAUCUCCGUUGCUACAUUGGUUGACCCAAGAUACAAAGAAAGGCAAGUCCUGUUUGUUUCAAAACUUAUUUUGCGAUAUAUAUAAUUGCUCAGGCCUAAUUAAUUCACCAUUUGAUUAUAACAUCAAAAUAAAUGUUCCAAAUGUUGUUCUAUGACAUUGACAACAAUAACUUCGAUAUGCUAAGGGAACGACAAAAUAUGUUAGGAAACAAAUAAUUAUUUUUAACUAAAUUAAAUUCUAUCCAUUUUCAGAUUAUUCACAAGUCCAGACCACCAGGAGCUUGCCAAGGAGGCUCUCAUUAGAGAGGUGGAGAUCAUGGAGAGAAAGAGGAAGGCUGGCAGUGAGGUGUCUGCAGAAGAGCCUCCAAGAAAGUCACCACGUCGAGGCGGUGUAGGCUGUGCAGCUGCAAACAGCAGCUUUGUCAGUCUAUAUGACGAGAUCUUGGAGGGGAAUGUGGUGGAGUCGAGGCCUGUGAGUACGUCAGCAGUCGUCACUCAGGUGGAGGCCUACCUGGCUGAACAAACCAUCCCAAGGAUCCUUUCUUAAGUUUCUGGCAGCAGCAACGGAAAAGGAUAAGGUGCCCCCUCCAAAUGCUGAUGAUGCAGUUCAGUCUACAUCUACCUCCAGUGGGGCAUCAACAUCU
This is a long non-coding RNA of Gymnodraco acuticeps, 2452 nucleotides long. RefSeq lists it as uncharacterized. NCBI's taxonomy places the organism in Eukaryota, Metazoa, Chordata, Actinopteri, Perciformes, Bathydraconidae. The record is from RefSeq and is a predicted model, not a curated record. The transcript is spliced from 3 exons.